This 684-nucleotide ribosomal RNA is filed under the name Triticum aestivum (bread wheat). RNAcentral's name for it is "partial small subunit ribosomal RNA". The record is from RNAcentral. Lineage: Eukaryota; Viridiplantae; Streptophyta; Magnoliopsida; Poales; Poaceae.
AUGGCUCGCAAGAAGGUGGCCCUCCGGUACAUCCGCAAUGACUCGGCGCGGCAGAAUACCUUGAAGAAGCGCAGCGAGAACCUGAUGAAGAAGGCCGAUGAGGUGACCACCUUGUGCAAGGCCAAGGCCUGCGUGCUGGUGUAUGGCGAGGGCGCAACGGUGCCAGAGGUGUUCCCAUCCCAUGCUGAGGCGGUGGCUAUCUUGAAAAGGUUUAAGAGCGUGCCGGAGGUGGCGCGGCUAAAGAAAACGAUGGACCAGGAGAGUGUCCUUAGUCAGCGCGUCGCAAAGCUCCGAGACCAGGUCCAGAAGACUAGGUGCGAGCUCCAAGACCGUGAGACCAAGUUUCUCCUGCAUGAGGCCAUGGUCAGCGGCCGCCUCCCUGUAAACAUCGAGGAGCUCACAACCAUGGGUUGGAAGUUGGAGUUAAUGCUCAAAGGCCUGGGCGAACGCAUCACAAAAAUGAGCGGGCAGCCGCCAGUCUACCAAACGCAGGCACCAUACAUCACCGGCAACAUGGACAUGGGGCCUCCAGCCAUGUAUCGGGUGUCGCCGCCGCAGCAGGAGGGUUGGCUUGAGACAGUGAGGUCCGAAGGGGACCUUGGCACCCAGAUCUACAAUGGCCAGAGUACUGGUGGCCAUGAUGGCACCAACUUCGGCUUCUUUCCUAGUCAUAUGAAUAUGUAA